RNAcentral lists this ribosomal RNA (914 nucleotides) under uncultured marine archaeon. Its description in RNAcentral is "bacterial SSU rRNA". It matches the Rfam family "Archaeal small subunit ribosomal RNA", at positions 1 to 922 of the family's 1478-position model. The record is from RNAcentral. RNAcentral also lists the same sequence under 1 other name.
UUCCGGUUGAUCCUGCCGGACCUGACUGCUAUCGGAUUGAUACUAAGCCAUGCUAGUCUUUGUAGUAAUACAAGGCAUACGGCUCAGUAACGCGUAGUCAACCUACCCUAUGGACGGGGAUAAUCUCGGGAAACUGAGCAUAAUACCCGGCAGACCACUUAUCCUGGAAUGGUUAGUGGUUAAAAUGAUUCGUCGCCAUAGGAUGGGACUGCGGCCUAUCAGCUUGUUGGUGAGGUAAUGGCCCACCAAGGCGAUUACAGGUACGGGCUCUGAGAGGAGAGGCCCGGAGAUGGGUACUGAGACAAGGACCCAGGCCCUAUGGGGCGCAGCAGGCGAGAAAACUUUGCAAUGUGCGAAAGCACGACAAGGUUAAUCCGAGUGAUUUCUGCUAAAGGAAUCUUUUGUUAGUUCUAAAAAUACUAGUGAAUAAGGGGUGGGCAAGUUCUGGUGUCAGCCGCCGCGGUAAAACCAGCACCUCAAGUGGUCAGGAGGAUUAUUGGGCCUAAAGCAUCCGUAGCCUGUUCUAUAAGUUUGCGGUUAAAUCUAUACGCUCAACGUAUAGGCUGCCGUAAAUACUGUAGAACUAGGGAGUGGGAGAGGUAGACGGUACUCGAUAGGAAGGGGUAAAAUCCUUUGAUCUAUUGAUGACCACCUGUGGCGAAGGCGGUCUACCAGAACACGUUCGACGGUGAGGGAUGAAAGCUGGGGGAGCAAACCGGAUUAGAUACCCGGGUAGUCCCAGCUGUAAACGAUGCAGACUCGAUGAUGCAAUGGCAUAGAGCUAUUGCAGUAUCGCAGGGAAGCCGUUAAGUUUGCCGCCUGGGAAGUACGUACGCAAGUAUGAAACUUAAAGGAAUUGGCGGGGGAGCACCACAAGGGGUGAAGCCUGCGGUUCAAUUGGAUUCAACGCCGGG